Molecule: ribosomal RNA, 253 nt
Filed under: uncultured bacterium
Lineage: Bacteria
Description: partial 16S ribosomal RNA
Rfam family: Bacterial small subunit ribosomal RNA
Source: RNAcentral
UACGUAGGGGGCAAGCGUUGUCCGGAUUUAUUGGGCGUAAAGAGCGUGUAGGCGGCUAGGUAGGUCCGUUGUGAAAACUCGAGGCUCAACCUCGAGACGUCGAUGGAAACCAUCUAGCUAGAGUCCGGAAGAGGAGAGUGGAAUUCCUGGUGUAGCGGUGAAAUGCGCAGAUAUCAGGAAGAACACCCGUGGCGAAGGCGGCUCUCUGGUACGUGACUGACGCUGAGGUGCGAAAGCGUGGGGAGCAAACAGG